Molecule: transfer RNA, 74 nt
Filed under: Parcubacteria group bacterium CG2_30_44_18
Lineage: Bacteria
Also listed under: 5 other names
Description: tRNA-Lys
Rfam family: tRNA
About the family: Transfer RNA (tRNA) molecules are approximately 80 nucleotides in length. Their secondary structure includes four short double-helical elements and three loops (D, anti-codon, and T loops).
Source: RNAcentral
CCGCCCAUAGCUCAGCCCGGUAGAGCACCUGCCUUUUAAGCAGAGGGUCCCAGGUUCAAAUCCUGGUGGGCGGA